GGUGACAGGUGGUGCAUGGUUGUCGUCAGCUCGUGUCGUGAGAUGUUCGGUUAAGUCCGAUAACGAGCGCAACCCUUAUCUUUAGUUGCUAACAUUUAGUUGAGAACUCUAGAGAUACUGCCGGUGACAAACCGGAGGAAGGUGGGGAUGACGUCAAAUCAUCAUGCCCCUUAUGUGCUGGGCUACACACGUAAUACAAUGGCCGUUAACAAAGGGAAGCAAUCCCGCGAGGAGGAGCAAAACCCCAAAAACGGUCCCAGUUCGGACUGCAGGCUGCAACCCGCCUGCACGAAGUUGGAAUUGCUAGUAAUCGCAGAUCAGCAUGCUGCGGUGAAUACGUUCCCGGGUCUUGUACACACGC
Molecule: ribosomal RNA, 361 nt
Filed under: uncultured Holdemania sp.
Lineage: Bacteria; Bacillati; Bacillota; Erysipelotrichia; Erysipelotrichales; Erysipelotrichaceae
Description: bacterial SSU rRNA
Rfam family: Bacterial small subunit ribosomal RNA
Source: RNAcentral